Molecule: transfer RNA, 72 nt
Filed under: Heteromormyrus pauciradiatus
Lineage: Eukaryota; Metazoa; Chordata; Actinopteri; Osteoglossiformes; Mormyridae
Description: tRNA-Asp
Rfam family: tRNA
About the family: Transfer RNA (tRNA) molecules are approximately 80 nucleotides in length. Their secondary structure includes four short double-helical elements and three loops (D, anti-codon, and T loops).
Source: RNAcentral
AAGACACUAGUAAAAUAGCCAUUACACCACCUUGUCAAGGUGGAAUUGUAGGUUAAACUCCUGCGUGUCUUA